UACGUAGGGUGCGAGCGUUAAUCGGAAUUACUGGGCGUAAAGGGUGCGCAGGCGGCGUCGCAAGUCAGGCGGGAAAUCCCCGGGCUUAACCUGGGAACUGCACUUGAAACUACGAUGCUGGAGUAUGGCAGAGGGAGGUGGAAUUCCGCGUGUAGCAGUGAAAUGCGUAGAGAUGCGGAGGAACACCGAUGGCGAAGGCAGCCCCCUGGGCUGACACUGACGCUCAGGCACGAAAGCGUGGGGAGCAAACAGG
RNAcentral lists this ribosomal RNA (253 nucleotides) under uncultured bacterium. RNAcentral's name for it is "partial 16S ribosomal RNA". It matches the Rfam family "Bacterial small subunit ribosomal RNA", at positions 524 to 776 of the family's 1533-position model. The record is from RNAcentral.